UACGGAGGGUGCAAGCGUUAUCCGGAUUUACUGGGCUUAAAGGGCGCGCAGGCGGUUAUGUAAGUCAGUGGUGAAAUCUCCGGGCUUAACCCGGAAACUGCCGUUGAUACUAUAUAUCUUGAAUGCUGUGGAGGUAAGCAGAAUAUGUCAUGUAGCGGUGAAAUGCUUAGAGAUGACAUAGAAUACCUAUUGCGAAGGCAGCUUACUACGCAGAUAUUGACGCUCAUGCACGAAAGCGUGGGGAUCAAACAGG
RNAcentral lists this ribosomal RNA (253 nucleotides) under uncultured bacterium. RNAcentral describes it as "partial 16S ribosomal RNA". It matches the Rfam family "Bacterial small subunit ribosomal RNA", at positions 524 to 776 of the family's 1533-position model. The record is from RNAcentral.